RNAcentral lists this ribosomal RNA (433 nucleotides) under bacterium 010.96.107. Its description in RNAcentral is "bacterial SSU rRNA". It matches the Rfam family "Bacterial small subunit ribosomal RNA", at positions 37 to 486 of the family's 1533-position model. Lineage: Bacteria; Bacillati; Actinomycetota; Actinomycetes; Propionibacteriales. The record is from RNAcentral.
UGGCGGCGUGCUUAACACAUGCAAGUCGAACGGUAAGGCCCUUCGGGGUACACGAGUGGCGAACGGGUGAGUAACGCGUGAGUAACCUGCCCUUCACUCUGGGAUAACAGUUGGAAACGGCUGCUAAUACCGGAUAUUCAGCUCCUGUCGCAUGGUGGGGGUUGGAAAGUUUUGGUGGUGGAGGAUGGGCUCGCGUCCUAUCAGCUUGUUGGUGGGGUGAUGGCCUACCAAGGCGUCGACGGGUAGCCGGCCUGAGAGGGCGACCGGCCACAUUGGGACUGAGAUACGGCCCAAACUCCUACGGGAGGCAGCAGUGGGGAAUAUUGCACAAUGGGCGGAAGCCUGAUGCAGCAACGCCGCGUGCGGGAUGACGGCCUUCGGGUUGUAAACCGCUUUCAGCAGGGACGAAGCGCAAGUGACGGUACCUGCAGAA